This 27-nucleotide non-coding RNA is filed under the name Mus musculus (house mouse). The record is from RNAcentral. Lineage: Eukaryota; Metazoa; Chordata; Mammalia; Rodentia; Muridae.
UUCAGAGACUCUGGGGCCUGUGCUGAA